Molecule: small nuclear RNA, 116 nt
Organism: Perca fluviatilis (European perch)
Lineage: Eukaryota; Metazoa; Chordata; Actinopteri; Perciformes; Percidae
Product: U5 spliceosomal RNA
Exons: 1
Source: RefSeq, a predicted model, not a curated record
UACUGUUUUUCUUUUCCGCCAAUGCACAAGUCUUUGCUUUUACUAAAGACUUCCGUGGAGAGGAACACAAAUGAGUUGAACCUAUUUUUGGUGGGCUCUACGGUUUGGCUGAGCCU